This 778-nucleotide ribosomal RNA is filed under the name Cellulomonas sp. URHE0023. RNAcentral describes it as "bacterial SSU rRNA". It matches the Rfam family "Bacterial small subunit ribosomal RNA", at positions 77 to 866 of the family's 1533-position model. The record is from RNAcentral. Lineage: Bacteria; Bacillati; Actinomycetota; Actinomycetes; Micrococcales; Cellulomonadaceae.
AGCUUGCUGGUCUGAUCAGUGGCGAACGGGUGAGUAACACGUGAGCAACCUGCCCUUCACUCUGGGAUAACCACGGGAAACGGUGGCUAAUACCGGAUAUGAGACGUACACGCAUGUGUCGCGUCUGGAAAGAUUUAUCGGUGAAGGAUGGGCUCGCGGCCUAUCAGCUUGUUGGUGGGGUAGUGGCCCACCAAGGCGACGACGGGUAGCCGGCCUGAGAGGGCGACCGGCCACACUGGGACUGAGACACGGCCCAGACUCCUACGGGAGGCAGCAGUGGGGAAUAUUGCACAAUGGGCGCAAGCCUGAUGCAGCGACGCCGCGUGAGGGAUGACGGCCUUCGGGUUGUAAACCUCUUUCAGCAGGGAAGAAGCGCAAGUGACGGUACCUGCAGAAGAAGCGCCGGCUAACUACGUGCCAGCAGCCGCGGUAAUACGUAGGGCGCAAGCGUUGUCCGGAAUUAUUGGGCGUAAAGAGCUCGUAGGCGGUUUGUCGCGUCUGCUGUGAAAACCUAAGGCUCAACCUUGGGCUUGCAGUGGGUACGGGCAGACUAGAGUGCGGUAGGGGUGACUGGAAUUCCUGGUGUAGCGGUGGAAUGCGCAGAUAUCAGGAGGAACACCGAUGGCGAANGCAGGUCACUGGGCCGCAACUGACGCUGAAGAGCGAAAGCAUGGGGAGCGAACAGGAUUAGAUACCCUGGUAGUCCNUGCCGUAAACGUUGGGCACUANGUGUGGGGCUCAUUCCACGAGUUCCGUGCCGCANCAAACGCAUUAAGUG